GGUGGGCUACACACGUCAUACAAUGGCCGGGUACAAAGGGUUGCCAAGCCGCGAGGUGGAGCUAAUCCCAUAAAACCGAUCAUAGUCCGGAUCGCAGUCUGCAACUCGACUGCGUGAAGUCGGAAUCGCUAGUAAUCGUGAAUCAGAACGUCACGGUGAAUACGUUCCCGGGCCUUGUACACACCGCCCGUCACACCAUGGGAGUGGGUUGCUCCAGAAGUAGCUAGUCUAACCGCAAGGGGGACGGUUACCACGGUGUGGCCGAUGA
This 268-nucleotide ribosomal RNA is filed under the name uncultured bacterium. RNAcentral describes it as "partial 16S ribosomal RNA". It matches the Rfam family "Bacterial small subunit ribosomal RNA", at positions 1208 to 1474 of the family's 1533-position model. The record is from RNAcentral.